GGCUCGCUUCGGUAGGCCAUAUCCUAGAAUUGGAACGAUACAGAGGGAAUUAGCAUGGUCCUCACACAAGGAUGACAUGCAAAUUCAUGAAAUGUUCGUAUUCAAA
Molecule: small nuclear RNA, 106 nt
Organism: Vulpes vulpes (red fox)
Lineage: Eukaryota; Metazoa; Chordata; Mammalia; Carnivora; Canidae
Source: Ensembl